GUCCUCCUAUUUUCAGUUGGUUUUGGCAGCGCGAGGACUAGGGUAAUGAUUAAUAGGGAUAGUUGGGGGCAUUAAUAUUUAAUUGUCAGAGGUGAAAUUCUUGGAUUUAUGAAAGAUUAACUUCUGCGAAAGCAUCUGCCAAGGAUGUUUUCAUUAAUCAAGAACGAAAGUUAGGGGAUCGAAGACGAUCAGAUACCGUCGUAGUCUUAACCAUAAACGAUGCGAGACCAGCGAUUAGGAGACGUUGAAUACAAAACUUCU
This 261-nucleotide ribosomal RNA is filed under the name Acanthamoeba castellanii. Its description in RNAcentral is "partial small subunit ribosomal RNA". It matches the Rfam family "Eukaryotic small subunit ribosomal RNA", at positions 820 to 1079 of the family's 1831-position model. The record is from RNAcentral. Lineage: Eukaryota; Discosea; Longamoebia; Acanthamoebidae.